UACGAGAGGCCCAAACGUUAUUCGGAUUUACUGGGCUUAAAGAGUUCGUAGGCGGCGCGGAAAGUGGGGUGUGAAAGCCCUCGGCUCAACCGAGGAAUUGCGCUUCAAACUACCGUGCUUGAGGAAGCUAGAGGUGAGCGGAACUGAUGGUGGAGCGGUGAAAUGCGUUGAUAUCAUCAGGAACACCGGAGGCGAAGGCGGCUCACUGGGGCUUUUCUGACGCUGAGGAACGAAAGCCAGGGGAGCGAACGGG
Molecule: ribosomal RNA, 253 nt
Filed under: uncultured bacterium
Lineage: Bacteria
Description: partial 16S ribosomal RNA
Rfam family: Bacterial small subunit ribosomal RNA
Source: RNAcentral